AUUGAACGCUGGCGGCAUGCUUUACACAUGCAAGUCGAACGGCAGCGCGGGCUUCGGCCUGGCGGCGAGUGGCGGACGGGUGAGUAAUACAUCGGAACGUGCCCAGUAGUGGGGGAUAGCUCGGCGAAAGCCGGAUUAAUACCGCAUACGACCUGAGGGUGAAAGCGGGGGAUCUUCGGACCUCGCGCUAUUGGAGCGGCCGAUGGCAGAUUAGCUAGUUGGUGGGGUAAAGGCCUACCAAGGCGACGAUCUGUAGCUGGUCUGAGAGGACGACCAGCCACACUGGGACUGAGACACGGCCCAGACUCCUACGGGAGGCAGCAGUGGGGAAUUUUGGACAAUGGGCGAAAGCCUGAUCCAGCAAUGCCGCGUGUGUGAUGAAGGCCUUCGGGUUGUAAAGCACUUUUGGCGGGAACGAAAAGGACUGUGCCAAUACCACGGUUCGAUGACGGUACCCGCAGAAGAAGCACCGGCGAACUACG
Molecule: ribosomal RNA, 482 nt
Filed under: uncultured bacterium
Lineage: Bacteria
Description: partial 16S ribosomal RNA
Rfam family: Bacterial small subunit ribosomal RNA
Source: RNAcentral